CGUGGGAACGUGCCUUUAGGUUCGGAAUAGCUCCUGGAAACGGGUGGUAAUGCCGAAUGUGCCCUUCGGGGGAAAGAUUUAUCGCCUUUAGAGCGGCCCGCGUCUGAUUAGCUAGUUGGUGAGGUAAAGGCUCACCAAGGCUACGAUCAGUAGCUGGUCUGAGAGGAUGACCAGCCACAUUGGGACUGAGACACGGCCCAAACUCCUACGGGAGGCAGCAGUGGGGAAUCUUGCGCAAUGGGCGAAAGCCUGACGCAGCCAUGCCGCGUGAAUGAUGAAGGUCUUAGGAUUGUAAAAUUCUUUCAGUAGGGACGAUAAUGACGGUACCUACAGAAGAAGCCCCGGCUAACUUCGUGCCAGCAGCCGCGGUAAUACGAAGGGGGCUAGCGUUGCUCGGAAUUACUGGGCGUAAAGGGAGCGUAGGCGGACAUUUAAGUCAGGGGUGAAAUCCCAGAGCUCAACUCUGGAACUGCCUUUGAUACUGGAUGUCUUGAGUGUGAUAGAGGUAUGUGGAACUCCGAGUGUAGAGGUGAAAUUCGUAGAUAUUCGGAAGAACACCAGUGGCGAAGGCGACAUACUGGAUCAUUACUGACGCUGAGGCUCGAAAGCGUGGGGAGCAAACAGGAUUAGAUACCCUGGUAGUCCACGCCGUAAACGAUGAUUGCUAGUUGUCGGGUUGUUUACAACUCGGUGACGCAG
This 699-nucleotide ribosomal RNA is filed under the name Brevundimonas staleyi. RNAcentral's name for it is "bacterial SSU rRNA". It matches the Rfam family "Bacterial small subunit ribosomal RNA", at positions 116 to 851 of the family's 1533-position model. The record is from RNAcentral. Lineage: Bacteria; Pseudomonadati; Pseudomonadota; Alphaproteobacteria; Caulobacterales; Caulobacteraceae.